RNAcentral lists this small RNA (30 nucleotides) under Bombyx mori (domestic silkworm). Its description in RNAcentral is "piRNA piR-bmo-1278663". The record is from RNAcentral. Lineage: Eukaryota; Metazoa; Arthropoda; Insecta; Lepidoptera; Bombycidae.
UGCAACAGUGUAACCCCACAGCGGUCGGGC